RNAcentral lists this long non-coding RNA (587 nucleotides) under Helianthus annuus (common sunflower). RNAcentral describes it as "hypothetical non coding rna". Lineage: Eukaryota; Viridiplantae; Streptophyta; Magnoliopsida; Asterales; Asteraceae. The record is from RNAcentral.
AAAAAAAAAAAGAAAUAAAGGUUGGCAGCCGCACAUUCCCUCACACUCCUCCUCCUUUCGUUGUCUUUCCGGUGACCGGAGCCACACUUCCGGCGACUUCCGACACCCCUCUCUUUCAGGCGAACCAUACUCACAUCACACCACCACACCCUCGUUCUUUCUCUACCGUUUCGUCAAGCAACAUCAACGACAACGCAGAACUCCGGUGACGGUUAUCCUCCAGUGAUGAUGGUGAAGACGUUGGUGGCCGACGGCAGCCGAAACCACAACUAUAGACGAGGUGGUGGUCUUGGUUCGACUCUGCGUUGGCUCGGAUCAGAUCUCGGAGCAGGAUGAAAAAAAAAAACGCAACCUCACACGUCCACCUAUUUCACGUUUUCUCCGGUAGUUAGGUAUCUUGGAAUUGGGAAGCUUGCUAUCUGGGAGUGCUGGAGUGGUCAUGGAUCGAGGCUCUUGGAUUAAAAUACAUUUAAUACAUUGGUUUUAAGUGUUAUUACGAAACAAUUGCGCAACAACUUAUUACAUGCUUCCGCUACACAACUUUUGAGAAUUAAUAUUAUGUUGGCAACUUAUUUUGUUAAAAUAGU